CCCGCCUCUAUUUGUCAGGUCUUGAGGAAAGUUGUAAAGAGCCUGCACUUUUGCUAAGUGCCCCAGGGACCCACUUCUUUGCACCCCCCACUGCUGGACUGGGCUCAGUUUCAUCUUCUCAGAGCCCCUCUUCCUCCAUCCGAUGGAAGGCGGUUCCUCGCCUGCCAGUCUCUGCCUUGGGUUCUUCUUCGUUUCUUUCCUCCAUCACAAUUUGUGAUGAGGUUGUUGAUUUUUUAAAAGCAUUUGUGUCCUCUACUCCUUGAACAUCAGCUCCUUAAGGACAGGAGACCCUGUCUGUCUGAGGAGUUACAGCCUGCCGCCUAGCUGUAAUAUGUAAAACACAAAGAAAUAUGAAAGGAUCCCUCAGGAACUUUAACUUCCUAUAUUGGUGAAAAAUGCUUCAAAGUUAGCAAAAGACCAACUUCUAGAGCCUUUGGAAUAUUUUUGAAGGCAAGAGCUUAUGUGAUAUCAGAUGCUGUAAAUUCUUAGCUCACGUCUACAACAGUAUGCUUUCAAUAAACGUUUUCUCUUGCUG
This 535-nucleotide long non-coding RNA is filed under the name Equus caballus (horse). Its description in RNAcentral is "lncRNA (ENSECAG00000043496.2)". The record is from RNAcentral. Lineage: Eukaryota; Metazoa; Chordata; Mammalia; Perissodactyla; Equidae.